This 426-nucleotide long non-coding RNA is filed under the name Pan troglodytes (chimpanzee). RNAcentral's name for it is "lincRNA". Lineage: Eukaryota; Metazoa; Chordata; Mammalia; Primates; Hominidae. The record is from RNAcentral.
CAUAUAAUUAUGACAAUUAUAUUUCCAAGAUAUUCUGGGAUCUUUACAGUUUCAUAAUUUUGCUCUUUUUACUAUACAACACUCCUUUUAUUGAAACAAAUACAGAUUUUGGAGUCAGACAGACCUAGUCUGGAUUUGAAUUCCAGCUCUCCUUCUUACCAGCCUGGGGCCAUGGAGAAUGUUGUCCAUUUCCCUGAGCCUCAGUGUUCUCUGUAAAAUGUGGAUGAUACCUGACUCCCAGGCAUUUUGCCAGGAUUACAUGGGAUUCCUACACAGUGCAAUGUCUAGUGAUAAUAUAAAUGCUAAAAGCAACUUGUUAAAUGUAUAAAUAAAUGUGAUUUAUUUUUGCUCCUUUACAUACAGUAUCAUGGAUAUAAUUUGUAGAUGUGUGUACUGUGAAUACAAUGGCCACUUCUCUUGCUCCCA